AUGCGUACUGCGUGGAACCCGGCGAAAUUGGUUGUUUGGAGGAAGAUAAAGGAAAACUUAUUUACUGCCCAGUUUGGAUGUUUGGGGGACUGGAAUAAAGCUAUGAAUGAGGGGCCUUGGUUGUUCAGAGAUCAAGCAGUCAUCAUGGUUGAGUAUGAUGGUUUCAAAAACCCUGAUAGUAUCAAGCUGGACAGGCUGGCGGUGUGGGCACAAAUCCAUCGGCUGCCUGACAAAUUCCUGAUAGAGCCAAUUGUUAGAGGGAUGGCAUCACGUAUUGGAGAAGUGGAGGAAGUGCAACUGAAGUUACCGGCAUGGUUAUUUGGUGAGUUUGUCAGAGUUAGGGUGAAGAUAGAUAUUAAUGCAAAAAUCAGAAGGUUCGUAACUGGAAAGAAGGGAGAUGAGAUGGUAAGAUACCAAGUCAAGUAUGAGAAACUUCCGAUUUUCUGCUAUAACUGUGGCGAGUGUGGACAUUGGCACGAGGAGUGUGGGGAUGGAGUUCACGAUUCAACGAAGUUUGAAUGGGGAGAUUUUGUACUGGCUGAGGGUGUACAUUUCAGGCAAGCUGGGAGAGGUGGCUAUGGCUUUCAGAGAGGAUGA
This 597-nucleotide ribosomal RNA is filed under the name Triticum aestivum (bread wheat). RNAcentral describes it as "partial small subunit ribosomal RNA". The record is from RNAcentral. Lineage: Eukaryota; Viridiplantae; Streptophyta; Magnoliopsida; Poales; Poaceae.